This 726-nucleotide ribosomal RNA is filed under the name Triticum aestivum (bread wheat). RNAcentral describes it as "partial small subunit ribosomal RNA". The record is from RNAcentral. Lineage: Eukaryota; Viridiplantae; Streptophyta; Magnoliopsida; Poales; Poaceae.
AUGGACCGCCGGCCGCCGCUCGCCGUCUCGCCUCGUCGGCUCCGCCCGCGGCCGAGCUACGCCGCCGCCGCCCGCCUGCCCUUGGCGUCCUCCUUCCACAUCCCCUCGCCAGGAUUUAGCAAGAAAGCCCAGACUUCGAUGCGCUCGUCCAUCUGCGCUCUGCCGCCGCCGUCCUACCUCGAGACCAGCCCGCGCCCCAAGCCGGACUUCACUGUUGCGGCAAGAGCUGCGGGGAAGGAGAACCUCUGCUUCAACGACGACGACGAGGAGGCGGCGCCUUUCAACCUCGCCGACACGAGCACGGACGACUGGACAGCGGCGGUGGCGCCGACCAGCCCGCUGUUCGAGAGGGGCAGGCUCUACGACCUCUACUCCGCGCGGCGCAACGAGCGGCUCAAGCGCAAGCACGGCUGGUACGCCGCCGGCGAGGAGGAGGCGGGGGCCAUGGCCGAGGACCCUUGCGUGGCCGUGGAGCUGUCCAAGCGGCGGGGCGCCAAGAAGGCCGCGGCCCCCGAGUCCGCGGUGAGGAGGUCGAUGCCGGCAGCGACAGCAGAGUUCUCGCAGAGCCACAGGGCCGGCGGCGGCCUGAGCGCCAUGAGGUCCUCCCUGAGGAGCAGCAAGGAGAUGAAAAAGCCCUCCGCCGCGUCGUCCUGCGCCACUGCCGCCAAGCCCUCCGCGGCCAAGGGCAGGAGGGUCGGCGCGCAGUCGUCGGUUCGCAGGAUCUGA